GGCUGUCGUCAGCUCGUGUUGUGAAAUGUUGGGUUAAGUCCCGCAACGAGCGCAACCCUUAUCCUUUGUUGCCAGCGGUUAGGCCGGGCACUCAAAGGAGACUGCCAGUGAUAAACUGGAGGAAGGUGGGGAUGACGUCAAGUCAUCAUGGCCCUUACGACCAGGGCUACACACGUGCUACAAUGGCCGGUACAAAGGGAAGCGACCUCGCGAGGGCAAGCGAAUCUCAUAAAGCCCGUCGUAGUCCGGAUUGCAGUCUGCAACUCGACUGCAUGAAGUCGGAAUCGCUAGUAAUCGUGA
This 300-nucleotide ribosomal RNA is filed under the name uncultured bacterium. RNAcentral's name for it is "bacterial SSU rRNA". It matches the Rfam family "Bacterial small subunit ribosomal RNA", at positions 1047 to 1347 of the family's 1533-position model. The record is from RNAcentral.